This is a long non-coding RNA of Marmota monax (woodchuck), 2492 nucleotides long. RefSeq lists it as uncharacterized. The record is from RefSeq and is a predicted model, not a curated record. The transcript has 6 exons. NCBI's taxonomy places the organism in Eukaryota, Metazoa, Chordata, Mammalia, Rodentia, Sciuridae.
GCAGGCGCUCUCGCCUCCGCAGGUCCCGCCGCGGCCUGGCCUGCGCCAUGCCCCCGCUGUCCAGGAGGUCUUCUGGGUACUGCGCCUUGGCCCUUAAAGAUGGGGGAAUGAGCCGGUCUAGGGUAUUUUUGUGUGUGUGUCACUCCGCGUUUCUGGAGUUUUAUACCUUCCAAUAUGGCGCCUCAGCCAGCCGCACCGCGGACUCCGGGGAGGGGAAAGAAACAUGUAUCAGGACUGGGUGCAGCUUUGCCUGAAGGGCCCUAGGAAACACAGCAGGAGUAAAGUGAACUUUGGUGUUCAGACAGGCAGCAGAAUUCAUCAGUUGUCUGGUCUAGAGAACUUGGUGCUGACCUACAUCAACACUAUCAACAGUGGGGAUUUGCCAUUCAUGGAGAACAAAGUCCUGGCACUGCCCAGACAGAGAAUGCAGCUGCAAUAAAAAAGGUCCUUGCCCACUAUGAAAAGCUGAUGGGCCAGAAGGUGCAGCUGCCCAAAGAGACCCUCCAAGAGCUGCUGGACCUGCACAGGACCAGUGAGAGAGAGAGGCCAUAGAAAUCUUCACAAAGAACUGUUUCAAGGAUGAGGACCAAAGUUUCCAGAAGCAAUUAUAGACCCUAUUAGAUGAAAAGCAGAAAGACAUUUGUAAGUGAAUGAAGAAGCCUCUUCAGAUCAUUGCUCAGCUUUCUUCAGGAUAUUUUUGGUCCUCUAGAAGAAGUAGUGAAACAGGGGCUUUAUUCUAAACCAGGAGGCCAUAACCUCUACCUUCAGAAGACAGAGAAGCUGAAGACAAAGUACCACAAGCAAUUCAGGAAAGGAAUACAGGCUGAGGAAGCUCUGCAAAAGUAUUUAAAGUCCAAAGAGUCUAUGAGUAAAGCUGUUCUACAGACAGACCAGGCUCACAGCCAAGGAAAAGGAGAUGGAAGAGGCACGUGCAAAAGCAGAGGCUGCCAAGGCUGAAGCAGAAAGUGUGGAGGAGAUUCGCAGGCAUAUGCGGCAAAUGAUGGAAGAGAAGGAGAGACUCCAUCAGCAGCAACUAAGACAAAUAGAGAUAGAAAGAGCAAAGUGUCUGGCACAGCAACAGUUGGAGCAGGAACGUCAUCUGGGGGAAGAAGCCGAAAAGCUCAAGUUGAUGCAUCAAGCUGAAAUGGCAAGGUUUCAAAAUCAGAUCCAGCAUAUCCACAGAACAAUGUCUGAGCCACAAGCUGCUCGAUGUAUCAUACUCUAAAGUACAUCAAAGCUUCCUUAUUUCUUUUCGCUAAAGACACAAAGAAACAAGAAACUAAAGAAUUUGGAACAAUCAACAUUUAAAUAAUCCCGAAGCUUUCUGCCUAGUCUUCUAAUUUGUCUCUAGAUAUUGCAAGUCACCCAGGCGUCUAGGUAUUGCAAAUUAUCACAUGGGCUCAGUCAAAUGGAAUGGUACCCUGUUCAGCAUCACUACUGCUUAUGGUCAUGUGCUGGAUGCCAUCACAGGGAGGCACCAAUGGUACCAUGGAACAAUCCACAGUUUUUACCUGGUUGGAGACUGCUAUGCUAUGUGCAGUGGUGAAAAUUAUCAGCACUCUCAGUUGGCCUUCUGCAUAGAGAAAUUCCAAAUUCAAAGGAAACAAUGUUAACAUGAAAUGGAAAUCUUUAGAGGAUGAAAGGAAAUACUACUAUGGAAAUUGUGUCAUAAGCUUAAGGACUAAACAAAAAGCUUUUUCCUUUUCUCUAAUCCUCACUAAUUCAUAACUUAUAAUAGGUAACAACUUACAUGUGACUUAAUAUUUUUGCAUUACAUAUUUAUAAUCCUUUAGAGCUUGUAAAUAGGAAUCAUAAGUAAUAAUGUGUAAUGAGCCCAAGUACUGAUGGUGCUCAUAGAAUGAGUUUGGAAGGGUUCCUUCCUUUUCUAUUUCAUGUAAUACUUUGAGGAGUAUUGGCUUUAAUUUUGCUUUGAAUGUCUCAUGGAACUCGGCUGAGAAUCUGUCUGGUCCUGUGCUUUCUUGGUUGGCUUUUGAUGGUGUUUUCUAUUUCAUUACUUAAAAUUGAUCUGUUUAAAUCAUGUAUUACCUCCUAAUUCAGUUUGAGUAGGUCAUAUGCCACUGCAAAUUUGUCAAUGUCUUUGAUAUUUUCUAUUUUAUUGGAGUAUAAAUUUUCAAAAUAGUUUCUAAUUAUCUUCUGUAUUUUAGAUGUGACAUUGUGAUAUUUCCUUUUUCAUCACGUAUUUUAGUAAUUUGAAUUUCUCUUUUUCUUUUUGUUAGCAUGGCUUAUCUAUUUUGUUUAUUUUUUCAAAGAACCAACUUUUGGUUUGGUCAAUUUUUUCAGCUGUUCCUUUGUUUCAGUAACAUUGAUUUCAGCUCUGAUUUUAAUUAUUUCUUUUCUUCUACUGCUUUUGGUGUUGAUUUGUUCUUUUUCUAGGACUUUGAGAUGUGAUGUUAAAUCAUUUAUUUGUUGAUUUUUUAUUCUGUUAAUGAAUGAGCUCAAUGCAAUAAACUUUCCUCUUAGUAGUGCCUUCA